UACGUAGGUGGCGAGCGUUGUCCGGAUUUACUGGGCGUAAAGGGAGCGUAGGCGGACUUUUAAGUGAGAUGUGAAAUAACCCGGGCGUCAACUUGGGUGCUGCAUUUCAAACUGGAAGUCUAGAGUGCAGGAGAGGAGAAUGGAAUUCCUAGUGUAGCGGUGAAAUGCGUAGAGAUUAGGAAGAACACCAGUGGCGAAGGCGAUUCUCUGGACUGUAACUGACGCUGAGGCUCGAAAGCGUGGGGAGCAAACAGGAUUAGAUACCCGUGUA
Molecule: ribosomal RNA, 271 nt
Filed under: uncultured prokaryote
Description: partial 16S ribosomal RNA
Rfam family: Bacterial small subunit ribosomal RNA
Source: RNAcentral